GAUGAACGCUAGCGACAGGCCUAACACAUGCAAGUCGAGGGGCAGCACGGUGUAGCAAUACACGGGUGGCGACCGGCGCACGGGUGAGUAACGCGUAUGCAACCUGCCUACUACAAGGGGAUAGCCCGUUGAAAGACGGACUAAUACCCUAUAACACAGGGAAUCCGCAUGGAUAUAUUUGUUAAAGAUUUAUCGGUAGUAGAUGGGCAUGCGUUCCAUUAGCUUGUUGGUGAGGUAACGGCUCACCAAGGCAACGAUGGAUAGGGGAACUGAGAGGUUGAUCCCCCACACUGGAACUGAGACACGGUCCAGACUCCUACGGGAGGCAGCAGUGAGGAAUAUUGGUCAAUGGACGAGAGUCUGAACCAGCCAAGUCGCGUGAAGGAAGACGGCCCUACGGGUUGUAAACUUCUUUUGAAGGGAAUAAAUAGUCUUACGCGCUAAAGCGUUGCAGGUACCUUACGAAUAAGGAUCGGCUAACUCCGUGCCAGCAGCCGCGGUAAU
RNAcentral lists this ribosomal RNA (504 nucleotides) under uncultured bacterium. Its description in RNAcentral is "bacterial SSU rRNA". It matches the Rfam family "Bacterial small subunit ribosomal RNA", at positions 28 to 524 of the family's 1533-position model. The record is from RNAcentral.